RNAcentral lists this long non-coding RNA (630 nucleotides) under Ananas comosus (pineapple). RNAcentral describes it as "long non-coding RNA (ACOM_LNC018073)". The record is from RNAcentral. Lineage: Eukaryota; Viridiplantae; Streptophyta; Magnoliopsida; Poales; Bromeliaceae.
AUAUUAAGUAGACUACCACUAAGAAAAGCGAAGAAAAUACGUAGAAUUGAAAAGUGGUUCCUAUCUGCAAAGGAAAAGACCCCUCUUCCAGGUGUUAUCCGCCUAUUUAUACUCCACGCAUUGUUAUUCAGUUAUUUACAUGAUCGAGUACUUCCCUAAUUUCAUGGGACACUAUAAGCCGUUCUCAACCGCUCAAACCGCCUGUGGUUGGUUACCAUUUGUUCUUUGCUCUCGGUGCACCAAAUGUCUAGCUUUGGAGUUUCUGACCGUAUUGUGCACCGUUUUACCACGUGACGUCAAUUUAUUGGUACCAACACAAGCAUUCUAUCAUCUUAGUGCUACAGUCUUCUUUAAAAAUUUUAUUUAGAGGGCAAAACAAUAAUAGCUAACAAUUGCCUCAAGGUGCUUUCCAAAUUUUUAAAAAAUAGUUAUCUAUAUAUCUCUUAAUAUUUCUAAAAUUUUUUAUUUAUUUUUUUUCCAAAUAUUUCUAAAAAAUAAUAAUAUUAAUUUUCUAAACAGAAUAAAUAAAAAAAUUAAAAAUUUUACAGAGAUAUAUAAACAAAUAAUUUUUUUUUUAUUUUCACUUUUACACCUCUAAAAAAAAUUAAAUAUUUGUGAGGAUUAUAUUCC